CUUGCUCAGAGUAGGAGUCUGCGCAGACAUCAGCUAAGAUUCCAGAAUGACUACCAUCUUGACUUACACUUUUCAAAAUCUUCUCACUGCAUCAAAAUGGGCCCUCAGAUUUUCCAUAAGACCUUGGAGCUGUUCCUCCUAGCUGCAAGCUGCCCCCGAGAUCCAGACCAAAAUGAAGAAGACAUUAGCCAAACCCAAUAUGAGGAAUGUUGUGGUCGUGGAUGGCGUUCGUACUCCAUUGUUGCUGUCAGCACUUCAUAUAAAGACCUAAUGCCAUAUGAUUUGGCUAGAGCAACACUUACGGGUUUGUUGUAUCAGCCCAGUGUCCCCAAGGAAGUAGUUGAUUAUAUCAUCUUUGGCACAGUUAUUCAGGAAGUAAAAACAAGCAAUGUGGCUAGAGAGGCUGCCCUUGGAGCUGCCUUCUCUGACAAGACUCCUGCUCACACUGUCACCAUGGCUUGUAUCUCUGCCAACCAAGCCAUGACCACAGGUGUUGGUUUGAUUGCUUCUGGCCACUGUGAUGUGUCCAUGACAGGUGGUGUCGAGUUGAUGUCCCAUGUCCCUAUUCGUCACUCAAGGAAAAUGAGAAAACUAAUGCUUGAUCUCAAUAAGGCCAAAUCUGUGGGCCAGUGACUGUCUUUAAUCUCUAAAUUCCAAUUGAAUUUCCUAGCACCUGAGCUCCCUACGGUUGCUGAGUUCUCCAUCAGUGAGACCACGGGCCACUCUGCAGACCGACUGGCGGCUGCCUUUGCUGUUUCUCGACUGGAACAGGAUGAAUAUGCGCUGAGCUCUCACAGUCUGGCCAAGAAGGCAUAGGAUGAAGGACUCCUUUCUGAUGUCGUAAUCUUCAAAGUACCAGGAAAAAAUACAGUUACCACAGAUAAUGGCAUCUGUCCUUCCUCACUGGAGCAGAUGGCCAAACUAAAACCUGCAUUUAUCAAGCCCUGCAGCACAGUGACAGCUGCAGAUUCUUCUUUGUUGACUGAUGGCGCAUCUGCGAUGUUGAUUGUGGCAGAGGAAAAGGCUCUGGCCAUGGGUUAUAAGUCGAAGGCGUAUUUGAGGGAUUUUAUGUACGUGUCUCAUGAUCCAAAAGAUCAACUAUUACUCGGACCAAAAUAUGCGACUCCAAAAGUUCUAGAAAAGGCAGAAUUAACCAUGAAUGAUAUUGAUGCUUUUGAAUUUCACAAAGCUUUCUCAGGUAAGAUUUUAGCAAAUUUUGAAGUCAUGGAUUCUGAUUGGUUUGCACAAAAUUACAUGGGUAGAAAAACCAAAGUUAGAUUGCUUCCUUUGGAGAAGUCUAAUAACUGGGAUGAAUCUCUGUUCCUGAGACACCCAUUUGGAGCCACUGGCUGCAGGUUGGUCAUGGCAGCUGCCAACAGAUUACAGAAGGAAGGAGACCAGUAUGCCUUAGCGGCUGCCUGUGCAGCUGGAGGGCAGGGCCAUUCUAUGACAGUGGAAGCUUAUCCAAAAUAAUAGAUCCAGAAGAAAUGACCAGAAGUUUCUGUGCAACACUCACACUAGGCAAUGGCAUUUCAAUGCAUUCCUAAAUGACAUUUAUAGUUCCUAGCUCGUCUUAGGAAAACAAUUCUUGUGGCCUUCUGUUACAUGCUUUGCACUUAAGCCUUGCCAGUGUUCUGAGCUUUUCAAUAAUCACGAUUUACUGCUCUUUCAGGGAUUUCUAAGCCACCAGAAU
Molecule: RNA transcript, 1693 nt
Organism: Mandrillus leucophaeus (drill)
Lineage: Eukaryota; Metazoa; Chordata; Mammalia; Primates; Cercopithecidae
Gene name: trifunctional enzyme subunit beta, mitochondrial-like
Exons: 1
Source: RefSeq, a predicted model, not a curated record